AUAUCAAUAAGCGGAGGAAAAGAAACCAACAGGGAUUGCCUUAGUAACGGCGAGUGAAGCGGCAAUAGCUCAAAUUUGAAAUCUGGCACCUUCGGUGUCCGAGUUGUAAUUUGUAGAAGAUAUCUUUGGUGUUGGCCCUUGUCUAUGUUUCUUGGAACAGGACGUCACAGAGGGUGAGAAUCCCGUGCGAUGGGGUGUCCAAUGCUUUGUAAAGUUUCUUCGACGAGUCGAGUUGUUUGGGAAUGCAGCUCUAAGUGGGUGGUAAAUUCCAUCUAAAGCUAAAUAUUGGCGAGAGACCGAUAGCGAACAAGUACAGUGAUGGAAAGAUGAAAAGAACUUUGAAAAGAGAGUGAAAAAGUACGUGAAAUUGUUGAAAGGGAAGGGCUUGAGAUCAGACUUGGCUUUUGCCGGGCCAGCAUCGGUUUGGAUGGCAGGAUAAUGACAUUGGAAUGUAGCACGACUUCGGUUUUGUAUUAUAGCCUUUGUUGAUACUGCCUGUCUAGACCGAGGACUGCGUCUUUGACUAGGAUGCUGGCAUAAUGAUCUUAAGCCGC
This 554-nucleotide ribosomal RNA is filed under the name Keqinozyma sinolaborantium. RNAcentral's name for it is "eukaryotic LSU rRNA". It matches the Rfam family "Eukaryotic large subunit ribosomal RNA", at positions 40 to 648 of the family's 3401-position model. Lineage: Eukaryota; Fungi; Ascomycota; Pichiomycetes; Serinales; Debaryomycetaceae. The record is from RNAcentral.